CCUANGGGAGGCAGCAGUCGAGAAUUUUUCACAAUGGGCGCAAGCCUGAUGGAGCGACGCCGCGUGGGGGAUGAAGGGUUUCGAUCCGUAAACCCCUGUCAUUUGCGAACAAACCUUGGUUGUUAACAGCGACCAAGCUGAUUGUAGCGAAAGAGGAAGGGACGGCUAACUCUGUGCCAGCAGCCGCGGUAAUACAGAGGUCCCAAGCGUUGUUCGGAUUCACUGGGCGUACAGGGAGCGUAGGCGGUUCGGUAAGCCCUUUGUGAAAUCUCCAGGCUUAACCUGGAACAGUCGGAGGGGACUGCCGGGCUAGAGGACGGGAGAGGAGCGCGGAAUUCCCGGUGUAGCGGUGAAAUGCGUAGAGAUCGGGAGGAAGGCCGGUGGCGAAGGCGGCGCUCUGGAACGUUUCUGACGCUGAGGCUCGAAAGCGUGGGGAGCAAACAGGAUUAGAUACCCCGNUANUC
RNAcentral lists this ribosomal RNA (464 nucleotides) under uncultured bacterium. RNAcentral's name for it is "bacterial SSU rRNA". It matches the Rfam family "Bacterial small subunit ribosomal RNA", at positions 338 to 795 of the family's 1533-position model. The record is from RNAcentral.